GACAGAGGGUGCGAACGUUGUUCGGAAUUACUGGGCGUAAAGCGCGUGUAGGCGGCAGCGCAAGUCGGGCGUGAAAUCCCACGGCUCAACCGUGGAAGUGCACUCGAAACUGCGCAGCUAGAGUCCUGGAGAGGAAGGUGGAAUGCUUGGUGUAGAGGUGAAAUGCGUAGAUAUCGGGAGGAACACCAGUGGCGAAGGCGGCGACCUGGGCCAAUAUUGACGCUGAGGUGCGAAAGCGUGGGGAGCAAACAGG
Molecule: ribosomal RNA, 253 nt
Filed under: uncultured bacterium
Lineage: Bacteria
Description: partial 16S ribosomal RNA
Rfam family: Bacterial small subunit ribosomal RNA
Source: RNAcentral